This is an RNA transcript of Liolophura sinensis, 6306 nucleotides long. It is a transcript of the gene named tripartite motif-containing protein 75-like, with no coding region annotated. The record is from RefSeq and is a predicted model, not a curated record. The transcript has 16 exons. Lineage: Eukaryota; Metazoa; Mollusca; Polyplacophora; Chitonida; Chitonidae.
CACAUUUGUGAUCUGACCAAGAGAAAACACGCAGGAAACACAGUGCUAAAGUAUAAGGAAAUCACUGAGCUACUGUUCAGGCCAUUUUUAUUUAAUCAGCAGACGAUGGACUUACCAGACCUCCCCUUACUUGUACCGUGGUGGAUGAUGAUGUGUAGCCAUUUGCACAGUCCAAUCAUUUUACUGGUAUUUGUUCCUUAAAGUCACCAAUAUGAUUUCUGCAUUUAGUGAUUACAUCCAGUGCUCCAUAUGUAUGACUUUACUGAACAACACACACACAACACCUUGUGGGCAUCGGUACUGUGAGAAAUGUAUCAAGGAGUGGGUGGACCGUCAGCACAAGUGUCCCUGCUGUAACCACCCUCUGCAGAACAAUCAACUCAUGAAAGACCACCAGUUUGACGGACUUAUAGCAUGUGUAUUACAGGAACAAGACAAAUCGGAAACACAGUAUUUUGAAAGCCUUAUAUCUAAAGCCACAUCAACAACUGCCAAUGAAACUUUCUCUCUUCAGACUCCAGUUGAAAAUGUUUUGAAAAAGCAUUUGUUAAGCAGUUUGGCAGCACAUGAAAAGUUUUGUCAGGAACUGAAGAAAGAAUUUAUCAGCAGGACACAAAAACUUGAGGAGGGAAUGAAGAGAACAAUUUCAGAACUGGCCCAGCAUGGUUUGUCAGAAGAAGAGCUUCAGUCCCAAACAGAAGACUUAUUGAAAACACUUAAGAGACAGAAGGAUGGAUUAAGUAAAGAUUUAGAAUCCUGUGUGCAGUUAGUGGCCACGGCAUAUGACAAACAUUUGUCAAAUCACAUUCCAACUGUGGACAUCUUGCCAGUGAAAGUGUCAGUAUUCUUACUGGAGAAAGAUGUAAGACUGGAUAACAUACAGCUGAAGCCUACAGACAGUUUAUCUGACAUCCAAGAAAUAGUGGAAUUGUCCCUGGCUGAGAGGAAUGACCCAAUUGUAUCCAUGGGUGAUGAUGUGCAGUGGCUAGUGUUUGGACCGUUUGCAAAGGGAAGUAAUUGGGAAAUGCAGGCUGUUGCACAGGAUAUAAUUGAGCACGGAAACACGAACCACCCAGGUGUAUGUGUGAUACAGGACAAAACCAUGAUCUCAGUCCAGUACUGCAUUAAACCUAAUAGUGACCUUGUUGUCUGGGGAAAUGUGAAAUGCAAGAGUGACUUGCCCAAACUCUGCUUUGUGAAGUUGUUCUCACCAGGUGAACAGAAAUCAGUGGACUACUUUUCCUGUAAACAGUGUGGCUUUAACUGGGUGUGUCGAUCCUGUAUGGAAAUUUGUCACCAAGGUCAUAAUGUGGUCCCCUACAUCAUGAAUCAUCAACCUACAUGGGCCAGCAUUAUGGUGGGAAGAAAAUGGGCACAGCCCAGGGAAACCCACGACCAUCUGCAGGUUGCUUGCAGACCUUCACACGUACAUCUGGAGAGGAAGCCAGCAUGAACUGAACUUGAACUCACAGUUGCCACAUUGGCGAGAGGCCUCGGGGUCAUUGCGCCACGCAGGCGUACUUACCACCUUUGCCAUGGACAUCGCCUCCCUAUUCUAAGGGCUUGUUGCUAUUGUCCCAAGAAGAAGACCUGCAUCAUCCAAGAUGUCAAGUGAGGAAUGCUGUUUUUGAACAUUUUCUGGCAUAGGUAUAUGCAAUCCUUUCCAAGUUGCAUACAAAUAGAAAAUUCACGUUUUGUCACCUCAGAAAUGUUUUAUGUUCAGUGUUACAUACCGGUAUGACAUUCCUGAUGUUUAAAUGUGUCAAAAAGGUCCAAUUGCAAUGUGGGUGUUAACAUACACGUAAUGUAGAUGCGAGUAGGAGUGGCGUAGCAGAGGUGUACUCCUAUCUUCUCACCUGAACUGUAAGGUUAAAGUUUCUGAGCGGAACUCUUAAUUCAUACAUUUUAAGAUUUCAGAGGUGCAUUUUGUUACAUGUAGGGUACUUUUGUUUUAAUAUUUGUGAGGUGUAUCAGAGGUGUAGUACUUAUGCCUGAGAUACACUCUUCUCCUCCUCCUUAAUUUUUACAUUUUGUAGGUGUAUCUGAGAUUUUCUUGUUGUCUUCAUACCAUACUAUGUUUCAGAGGGUUACUCUUCCUUCACUCAUUUUACAUUUGUCCACAAGUAUGCCUGAGAUGUGCUCCUUUCUUACCUUCAGAUAUUUCUUUUGCUUCUUACAUCUUUAUAAACUUUCCAGAAAUAUAUCUGAGGUGUAUUCUUCUACUCCCAUACCUUACUGUGUUUCUCAGUUGUACACUUUUCUGUACGUGUACAUUUCCCAAGUUCCAGGGGUUAUUUCUGUAAUUUUCUGACUUUAAAGUCAAAAUUUAAAUUCUCCUUACGAUCCGUAGUUUUUGGUACUGGAAGUUGAAAUUUGGACAUGUUUGCCUCAUGGUAACAUUGAUGAGGGGGACAGAAUUUUAAAGUGUCAAGUCGAAUAAUAAGCUUUAAGAUUGUAUUUCAAAAUUUGGCUUAAAUCGGAGGUGAGUUUGUUGAACCAGCCACUGAAGUACACCUGUGGUGUGUUCUUCUCUACCUCCAUGUCUUACCAUGUUUCUUAAUUGUACUUUUCUAUACCGUCAUGUUCAUUUCUAAGUUCCAUAAGUUUAUCUUAUCUGAUCUUAUCUACCUUCAGUCUGUAUUGAUGCUUUUUGUUUUUUGUCUACAAGUGCAUAUUUCUAAAUUUCAGAUGGUUAUCUCAGUGUGUGCUUUUCUCUUACCUUCAUGCCAUACUGUUAAUGUUUCUCAGAUUUAGUUUUCUCCACACACAUACAUUUCUAAAGCUCCUGAAGUGUAUCCAAGAUGUGCUUUUCUCUACCCUCAUGCCUUCACUAUGUUUCUCAGCUGUACUUUUUUGCUACAAGGUACAUUUGUAAGUUCAAGAAGUGCAUCUGAGGUGUGCUCUUCUAUAGUGCCAUACUGUUAAUGCUUUUCAGAUUUGCUUUUCUCUACACAUGCACAUUUGUAAGUUCCAGAAGUGUAACUGAGGUGUGCUCUUCUAUAGUGCCAGACUGUUAAUGCUUUUCAGAUUUGCUUUUUUUCUACACAUACACAUUUGUAAGUUCCAGAAGUGCAUCUGAGGUGUGCUCUUCUAUAGUGCCAGACUGUUAAUGCUUCUUAGAUUUGCUUUUCUCUACACAUGCACAUUUGUAAGUCGCAGAAGUGUAACUGAGGUGUGCUCUUCUCUGCCUCCAUAUUGUACUAAUGUUUCUCAGUUGUACUUUUUCUAUACAUGUACAUUUGCAGAUUCCAGAAGUGUAGUCUGAAGUGUAUUAUUUUCUACCUUCAUACCUUACUUUUUUCUCAGUUGUACUUUUUCUACACAUGUACAUUUUGCAGGUUCCAGAAGUGUAGUCUGAAGUGUAUUAUUUUCUAUCUUCAUACCUUAUGUUUUUCGCAGUUGUACUUUUUUCUCUACAUUUUUAGCUCACCUGUACUUAGGCUCAUGUCUUACCCUGAGUGUUGGCGUCCAGUAAACUGGGAAAACAAUGUGAAACAAAAUAUCCUUUAUUGAGCUCUGGUUUUUUUCAACCAUACAGAGCACAAUAACAAGAGGGGGAUAUUCCAUUGCUGAUGCUCUGUGUGCAUAUUAAUUACCGUAAAUCACCAAAUUCCUGAUUUAGUGUAUUGUGCAUUCAAAUGGAUGUUAAACAAAAUGCUAGAAUGGUAUCUCAAAAAGUACAGUACUUCCGCUUUGGGAGGAUUUAGAUCCGGGGUCAGCCCUGGGUCUGGUCACACCUAAACCUUUAAAAGAGGAAGAUCUAACUUCCUCAUUUGGCGUUCAGCAUGAAGGGGAUAGUGCAACAACUGGUUGACCCCUAUCAGUAUAAUGGCCCGGGCCGGGCAGCUUACUUGCCUUCAGUUAAUCGUUUCAGUGAAGCAGCAUAACAGAGUGAUGGAAAUCCGCCCUGCAACAAGGAGGCACAUCACAUGCACUCUAAGGACUCCUUCGUCAUCAUAUGACUGAAAAAUUGCUAAGUACGACGUUAAACCUCAAGUACUCACUCACUCACUGAAAAAGUACAGCAUGUAUUGGCCUGAAGUUUUAUAUGUAUAUAAAGCAGAAUGACACAAGGGGGAUAUUCCAGUGCGGAUGCUCUGUGCGCAUAUUAAUUACCGUAAAUGACCAAAUUCACAAAUUUAUUACUUUAUGUAUUGAUCAGAAGUUUUAUAUUUAUGUUUCUCCUAAAGGCGAGCCCUUUGGUAGCCUUGUACCAAGUCUAAGUUAUUUUAUUGAUGUUUUAGGCUGCACUUAAGAAUACAUGUAGUUUUUCUAUACACAUGUACAUUUCUUAGGCCCCCCACAUAUAUAACUGAUAACCAAGUUGCAAUUUUAAAUGAGAGGAGCAUGCAUACUCAUAUCAAGUAACCAGGCCAGUUUCUCAAAACCAUCACUGACUGAAAUAGAAAUUUGAAAUGUAAUUUAUGUUUGGUCCCAAAAGAGUAAACUUUCGACUAUCUCAUGAAUGUUUAUAUUGUAUGACAAAUGUCAAAAUUUAAAGCUUUAUUGUGGUACCUCUAAGCUUUCCAGAUGUUUGGAAUUGGCUGUCUGCGAUAUGGAUUUCCCUUGAUGUCAGAUAAUUUCCUGCAGUAAAAAAAUUUGUUAAAUUUGUCGGUGUAUUAAGAUGAUGUUUAACAGGAAAAAAAACAAAGUUUUGAAACAAGAAUAAUAAUGGUGAUAUCAGAUUUCUGCUCAAAGGUUAAUGUAGGUGUGCUAGAGACGUUUUACUUGUAUACUGCAUGGACGCCUCCUAAAGGGUGUUGUGUAGUACACUACUUACCUUCCAUUCUUCUUCAGCACCCCUGCAAUUGAUGUGUAAAUCUUCUCUCUGUAUUGUUGGCGUAAACUUUCAGAACCAGUCUGUACAUGUAAGACACCACUAAUAUUGUAUCGGUUAUGCAUUGACUUCAGAUUAAGUUAUAUAUAUCUAUUCUUGUUAUUAGGCCAAAUGUGAUGGUAACAAAAUUUUACCAAAUUAAAUGCUGUUAAAAUUCAGUCUAAAUUCAGUGUAAAGCGUUUGCUUGCUUUAAUGGGGUGUGACUAAAACCCGUUCGGUACCUCUAAGUUCACCGUAUGACAGUGCUAAUACCAUGCAGCCCAUGGCAGUACUUGUACAAUCCAGUGCAUGGUAGUUCUGGUACAAUCCAGCACAACCUGGUAACAAUUUUUGCCCAUUAAAGGUAGUAAGGCUUUACUACAUGUUCAUGUAUUUACCUGGACUAUUAUAGACAUAUUUAUUUGAUUGGUGUUUUGCACCCUACUCAAGAAUGUUUCACUUAUACGAGAGUGGCCAGCAUUAUGGUGGGAGGAAACCCGGACUCUGCCCCGGGGAAACCCACGACCAUAAGCAGGUUGGGACUAUAAUAGACAUGCAUUACAUAGUUAAGUGCGUUCUAAUGUUGCUUCUUAUAAAAUACGUGUGUAUAAUUACGGUCUACAUGUAGCUAGAUAUAGUGCAGUCAGUAAAUGCAAUAAAGUGCCUUUCAGUUGCGUAUGUACCGGCGCUUAAGGCAUCUUUGCCAUCCAAUUUAAUCCAGAGCGGCGUGUGAUAGUCGCGAACCGUCCAGACAAGCCAGUACAUUAUUUGUCUGUUCUGUUACCCACUGGGCACCUGCCAAUCCGGUUCCACACAGCCCAGCACAUCUCAGAGUUCUAUAUGACACUGCUGUAGUCCGUUUCUUUUAAUUUGUCUCCUAUAUUCAGCUAUCUGCAGUACACUCGCAACCAAAAUCGCCUUUCUUCAGUGACACGCAACACCACUUUACCUUUACACAUCGAUAUGUUGGACGUACAUAUUACUGCGAAGAAAAUGAAGUUAGAAUACUUUUUCUAAUGUUAAUAAGCUUGUUUUCCAGACGAAGACGUCAUUGCCUCGGGCGAUGCCAUAAUUAUUCAAUAGACAAUGACAAUGAAGAGGUUUUUGUUUUACAAUAGCUGCACACCAAGUAGUUACGCCAAACUCCACGACGUAACAAAGUGUACACUAUACUCACCGUGAAAAUAUACUACGCUGUUUUUAUAACAGAAUUUCGUAACAUCGAACUCUGUAGAUCUACUUCUGUGAGAUCAUAUCGCUAUAAAAGAUAAAUUAUACUUUACUUAUUAAAUUUAUACGUGUAUUAUACUGCAGUUUAGGUAAUUUGUGUUGCUCGAUCUCCGUCAGAAGAUAUUGGACUGCGGCCAUUAUCCAGAAUGCCUGCAUUUUUAAAAUAAUAUGACGUCACUCGAGGCGUGUCGAAAACCAGGUUAUGAAUUGUAUGACCAGCACGCAAAAAUAUAGCUGUUGUAUAUAUCAUCAUGUCUCUA